Molecule: transfer RNA, 77 nt
Filed under: Chloroflexota bacterium
Lineage: Bacteria; Bacillati; Chloroflexota
Description: Chloroflexi bacterium tRNA-Val
Rfam family: tRNA
About the family: Transfer RNA (tRNA) molecules are approximately 80 nucleotides in length. Their secondary structure includes four short double-helical elements and three loops (D, anti-codon, and T loops).
Source: RNAcentral
GGGCGGUUAGCUCAGUUGGCUAGAGCGCGUCGUUGACAUCGACGAGGUCGGAGGUUCGAAUCCUCCAUCGCCCACCA